GAUGAACGCUGGCGGCGUGCUUAACACAUGCAAGUCGAACGAUGAAGCCCAGCUUGCUGGGUGGAUUAGUGGCGAACGGGUGAGUAACACGUGAGUAACCUGCCCUUAACUCUGGGAUAAGCCUGGGAAACUGGGUCUAAUACCGGAUAGGAGCGUCCACCGCAUGGUGGGUGUUGGAAAGAUUUAUCGGUUUUGGAUGGACUCGCGGCCUAUCAGCUUGUUGGUGAGGUAAUGGCUCACCAAGGCGACGACGGGUAGCCGGCCUGAGAGGGUGACCGGCCAAACUGGGACUGAGACACGGCCCAGACUCCUACGGGAGGCAGCAGUGGGGAAUAUUGCACAAUGGGCGCAAGCCUGAUGCAGAGACGCCGCGUGAGGGAUGACGGCCUUCGGGUUGUAAACCUCUUUCAGUAGGGAAGAAGCGAAAGUGACGGUACCUGCAGAAGAAGCACCGGCUAACUACGUG
RNAcentral lists this ribosomal RNA (466 nucleotides) under uncultured bacterium. RNAcentral describes it as "partial 16S ribosomal RNA". It matches the Rfam family "Bacterial small subunit ribosomal RNA", at positions 28 to 507 of the family's 1533-position model. The record is from RNAcentral.